AUGGAAACCCCUGACACUGUGGUGGAACCAUCUUUCUGUGGUUCUUACACUGAAUCUGAGCCGACGUGCAUGAUGCAUCAUCAGAGGCCGAAGAAGAUGGUGGCUUUUGAAGGUUCUUUGACUGGCAGGCGUUUCCUGGGUUGUCCUAUGCAGCAGGAUGAAGGUGUGAACUGUGGGGUUGUGGAGUGGGUGGAUGGUCCUUGGCCAGAGAUUCUACAAAGGUGCCUAACCAGGAUUUGGGACAUGUAUCAUGAGCAGAACUUGGGCAGGGUGAAUGACAAACAAGCCCAUGAGAAAGAGGUGGCCAAGCUACAGAAGGAAAUUGAUUUCCUGUCAAACAACUACAGC
RNAcentral lists this ribosomal RNA (348 nucleotides) under Triticum aestivum (bread wheat). Its description in RNAcentral is "partial small subunit ribosomal RNA". The record is from RNAcentral. Lineage: Eukaryota; Viridiplantae; Streptophyta; Magnoliopsida; Poales; Poaceae.